RNAcentral lists this non-coding RNA (153 nucleotides) under Sagittula marina. Its description in RNAcentral is "alpha proteobacterium F028-2 Ruegeria cis2 sRNA". It matches the Rfam family "Ruegeria cis2 sRNA". Rfam says of the family: Cis-encoded. Targets ABC transporter. Functions in transport. Lineage: Bacteria; Pseudomonadati; Pseudomonadota; Alphaproteobacteria; Rhodobacterales; Roseobacteraceae. The record is from Rfam by way of RNAcentral.
GUUCGAGUUGUGCGGAUUGUAAUCCUUGAACGCAUAUCCGCGAGACUGGUCAAUCGUGUGGAACAACGGGUUCCAGUCGAACAUGACGACCAUGUAUCCUGGCAGCGUGUUGGCCACGAACAUCUUGCCCGAGGCAAUCAUGUUUGCCCGCUG